Molecule: ribosomal RNA, 377 nt
Filed under: Phelsuma guttata
Lineage: Eukaryota; Metazoa; Chordata; Lepidosauria; Squamata; Gekkonidae
Description: partial 16S ribosomal RNA
Rfam family: Bacterial large subunit ribosomal RNA
Source: RNAcentral
CGUGCAAAGGUAGCAUAAUCACUUGUUCCUUAAUUAGGGACUUGUAUGAACGGUUAAAUGAGGGCAAAACUGUCUCCUACAGUUAAUCAAUGAACUUGAUCAUACAGUACAAACGCUGUAAUUUAUUUAUAAGACGAGAAGACCCUGUGGAGCUUUAAACUUCUACAUUAAUUUAAAACUAACAUAAUGUAAAAUUUUAAGUUGGGGCGACUACGGAGUAAAAAAAAACCUCCAUGAAACUCGACUAAUCCUCGCCACAGAAGGCCAACAAGCCUUAACCAAAACGUUUGACCCAAUCAUAUUGAAUACCGAACCAAGUUACCCCAGGGAUAACAGCGCCAUCCCCUUAAAGAGUUCACAUCGCCAAGGGGGUUUAC